Acanthosepion pharaonis is the source of this 113-nucleotide non-coding RNA. The record is from the annotation of a GenBank genome assembly. NCBI's taxonomy places the organism in Eukaryota, Metazoa, Mollusca, Cephalopoda, Sepiida, Sepiidae.
UACAGUCAUAUCAUGUUGAAACACUUGCUGACGUUUGAUCACCAAAGUUAAGCAAUGUGGAACUUGGUCAGUACCUAGAUGGGUGACCACUUGGGUAUACCAGUUGCUGUAAG